This 73-nucleotide transfer RNA is filed under the name Parcubacteria bacterium DG_74_2. RNAcentral's name for it is "tRNA-Val". It matches the Rfam family "tRNA". Rfam says of the family: Transfer RNA (tRNA) molecules are approximately 80 nucleotides in length. Their secondary structure includes four short double-helical elements and three loops (D, anti-codon, and T loops). Further hydrogen bonds mediate the characteristic L-shaped molecular structure. tRNAs have two regions of fundamental functional importance: the anti-codon, which is responsible for specific mRNA codon recognition, and the 3' end, to which the tRNAs corresponding amino acid is attached (by aminoacyl-tRNA synthetases). tRNAs cope with the degeneracy of the genetic code in two manners: having more than one tRNA (with a specific anti-codon) for a particular amino acid; and 'wobble' base-pairing, i.e. permitting non-standard base-pairing at the 3rd anti-codon position. RNAcentral also lists the same sequence under 1 other name. Lineage: Bacteria; Candidatus Parcubacteria. The record is from RNAcentral.
GGGCAACUAGCUCAACGGUUAGAGCGUCUGGUUUACAUCCAGAAGGUUAGGGGUUCGAAUCCUCUGUUGCCCA